Molecule: ribosomal RNA, 492 nt
Filed under: uncultured bacterium
Lineage: Bacteria
Description: partial 16S ribosomal RNA
Rfam family: Bacterial small subunit ribosomal RNA
Source: RNAcentral
AGUGAACGCUGGCGGUAGGCCUAACACAUGCAAGUCGAACGGCAGCACAGUAAGAGCUUGCUCUUACGGGUGGCGAGUGGCGGACGGGUGAGGAAUACAUCGGAAUCUACUUUUUCGUGGGGGAUAACGUAGGUAAACUUACGCUAAUACCGCAUACGACCUACGGGUGAAAGCAGGGGAUCUUCGGACCUUGCGCGAUUGAAUGAGCCGAUGUCGGAUUAGCUAGUUGGCGGGGUAAAGGCCCACCAAGGCGACGAUCCGUAGCUGGCCUGAGAGGAUGAUCAGCCACACUGGAACUGGGACACAGUCCAGACUCCUACGGGAGGCAGCAGUGGGGAAUAUUGGACAAUGGGCGCAAGCCUGAUCCAGCCGUACCGCGUGGGUGAAGAAGGCCUUCGGGUUGUAAAGCCCUUUUGUUGGGAAAGAAAAGCAGCAGGUUAAUACCCCGCUGUUCUGACGGUACCCAAAGAAUAAGCACCGGCUAACUUCGUG